This 32-nucleotide non-coding RNA is filed under the name Kordia algicida OT-1. Lineage: Bacteria; Pseudomonadati; Bacteroidota; Flavobacteriia; Flavobacteriales; Flavobacteriaceae. The record is from RNAcentral.
GCCGUGGAUUCCGAAAAACGAAAGAGUAGGAA